Mytilus californianus (California mussel) is the source of this 187-nucleotide long non-coding RNA. RefSeq lists it as uncharacterized. The record is from RefSeq and is a predicted model, not a curated record. Lineage: Eukaryota; Metazoa; Mollusca; Bivalvia; Mytilida; Mytilidae. The transcript is spliced from 2 exons.
GGUUCUGCAACAACCAACCAGAAUGCAAACACAGAGAGGAUGAAAGUCCGAACAGUUGCUUUAAUCGUCCAAAAGGGUCCAUUGACUUGCAGUGGCUGAAAUAGCUAGUAGUUUGAUUAGAUUUCUAGUAAAACCAUCUUGCUUUGACCAUACGACAAAGAAUAAAAAUUAACUUAUGUUAAACAUA